AAAUCUCUCAAUUAACUGAUUAAAUCCAGAAAUCAUCCAGUCAAAUACUCACAAGAGCACAUACACGUUUGCACGUCCAACAAGUGCACAUACAAUCAAAAACAGAUACACAAGCACCAAAACUUGGUGGCAACAUCAACUAAAACUAUGGCGCGCAUCUCCAAGCUUCUUCUGAUCUUCUAUCAUAGCAGCAGCAGCCUCGACAACAUUAGAUCCUGAUCCAGAUAAGCUAUUAGUGAAAUACACUGGAAGUAAAUAAUAUUCUUUCAAGAGGCUAAAAUUUAUACAUACAUGCCCAAAUGCCCCAAUUCAGUAAACACUAAGCAUGGCAUAACAAAACUUCCAACAACUUGAAUGCAACAGAUUAACCUGAUGUUGUUCUACAAUA
RNAcentral lists this long non-coding RNA (388 nucleotides) under Triticum aestivum (bread wheat). RNAcentral describes it as "long non-coding RNA (TAES_LNC014266)". Lineage: Eukaryota; Viridiplantae; Streptophyta; Magnoliopsida; Poales; Poaceae. The record is from RNAcentral.